RNAcentral lists this ribosomal RNA (449 nucleotides) under uncultured bacterium. Its description in RNAcentral is "partial 16S ribosomal RNA". It matches the Rfam family "Bacterial small subunit ribosomal RNA", at positions 29 to 523 of the family's 1533-position model. The record is from RNAcentral.
AACGAGCGCUGGCGGCAUGCCUAACACAUGCAAGUCGAACGAGAUCUUCGGGUCUAGUGGCGUACGGGUGCGUAACGCGUGGGAAUCUGCCCUUUGGUUCGGAAUAACAGUUGGAAACGACUGCUAAUACCGGAUGAUGACGAAAGUCCAAAGAUUUAUCGCCAGAGGAUGAGCCCGCGUAGGAUUAGCUAGUUGGUGUGGUAAAGGCGCACCAAGGCGACGAUCCUUAGCUGGUCUGAGAGGAUGAUCAGCCACACUGGGACUGAGACACGGCCCAGACUCCUACGGGAGGCAGCAGUGGGGAAUAUUGGACAAUGGGCGAAAGUCUGAUCCAGAAAUGCCGCGUAAGUGAUGAAGGCCUCAGGGUUGUAAAGCUCUUUUACCCGGGAUGAUAAUGACAGUACCGGGAGAAUAAGCUCCGGCUAACUCCGUGCCAGCCGCCGCCGUAA